RNAcentral lists this ribosomal RNA (736 nucleotides) under uncultured bacterium. Its description in RNAcentral is "bacterial SSU rRNA". It matches the Rfam family "Bacterial small subunit ribosomal RNA", at positions 8 to 796 of the family's 1533-position model. The record is from RNAcentral.
AGAGUUUGAUCCUGGCUCAGAACGAACGCUGGCGGCAGGCUUAACACAUGCAAGUCGAACGCACCGCAAGGUGAGUGGCAGACGGGUGAGUAACGCGUGGGAACGUGCCCUUCAGUUCGGGAUAACCCAGGGAAACUUGGGCUAAUACCGGAUACGUGCGAGAGCAGAAAGAUUUAUCGCUGAAGGAUCGGCCCGCGUCUGAUUAGCUAGUUGGUAGGGUAAUGGCCUACCAAGGCGACGAUCAGUAGCUGGUCUGAGAGGAUGAUCAGCCACAUUGGGACUGAGACACGGCCCAAACUCCUACGGGAGGCAGCAGUGGGGAAUAUUGGACAAUGGGCGCAAGCCUGAUCCAGCCAUGCCGCGUGAGUGAUGAAGGCCUUAGGGUUGUAAAGCUCUUUCGGCGGGGACGAUAAUGACGGUACCCGCAGAAGAAGCCCCGGCUACUUCGUGCCAGCAGCCGCGGUAAUACGAAGGGGGCUAGCGUUGUUCGGAAUCACUGGGCGUAAAGGGCGCGUAGGCGGCCUGAUAAGUCGGGGGUGAAAGCCUGUGGCUCAACCACAGAAUUGCCUUCGAUACUGUCGGGCUUGAGACCGGAAGAGGUCAGUGGAACUGCGAGUGUAGAGGUGAAAUUCGUAGAUAUUCGCAAGAACACCAGUNNNNAAGCGGCUGACUGGUCCGGUUCUGAGCUGAGGGCGAAAGCGUGGNNAGCAAACAGGAUUAGAUACCCNNGUAGUCC